GAGUUUGAUCUUGGCUCAGGAUGAACGCUGGCGGCGUGCCUAAUACAUGCAAGUCGAGCGAACAGACGAGGAGCUUGCUCCUCUGACGUUAGCGGCGGACGGGUGAGUAACACGUGGAUAACCUACCUAUAAGACUGGGAUAACUUCGGGAAACCGGAGCUAAUACCGGAUAAUAUAUUGAACCGCAUGGUUCAAUAGUGAAAGACGGUUUUGCUGUCACUUAUAGAUGGAUCCGCGCCGCAUUAGCUAGUUGGUAAAGUAACGGCUUACCAAGGCAACGAUGCGUAGCCGACCUGAGAGGGUGAUCGGCCACACUGGAACUGAGACACGGUCCAGACUCCUACGGGAGGCAGCAGUAGGGAAUCUUCCGCAAUGGGCGAAAGCCUGACGGAGCAACGCCGCGUGAGUGAUGAAGGUCUUCGGAUCGUAAAACUCUGUUAUUAGGGAAGAACAAAUGUGUAAGUAACUAUGCACGUCUUGACGGUACCUAAUCAGAAAGCCACGGCUAACUACGUGCCAGCCC
This 523-nucleotide ribosomal RNA is filed under the name uncultured microorganism. RNAcentral's name for it is "bacterial SSU rRNA". It matches the Rfam family "Bacterial small subunit ribosomal RNA", at positions 9 to 514 of the family's 1533-position model. The record is from RNAcentral.